UCUCCAGCUCACUGCACUUUAGCUCUUAAUGAUUACACAGCACCAGCUGGGUCCAGGCAUUCUGUGGGCAUGGAAUGAGAUAGGCAAUGCCCCAUUUCUCAUGCAGUGUGCAUCUUCAAGAGGCAGGACAGGAGGGUCCUGGCCACAGAAAAGGCACGUGAAAGAAAGUUCCAGUAUGCCUGAGGACCUGGGGGAAAGCCUUCACAGAGCCUAGUGAGAGAUACGGAAAUGGCAGGAGGAAAAUUUGGAGAAGGAAGCAAGAAUCACCCCAGAGAAGUUGGGGUGUAAGGGUUGGGCGUGGAUUUUAUUCGACUUGCCACCAAGGGCUUUUAAGAAGGGAAGAAAUAAUCUGAUCUUCAUUUUGAAGUGCUCUCUCCUGCUGCCAUAUGAUGAAGACCGUGGCAAUGGUCAAGAGAGAUGAUGACAACAUCCCUGGAAGCAGAGAUGAGGAGCAGAAAAAGGAUUGGGGCUAAGCAUUAACCCAGUGGGAACAUCAUGGACUUCUAAGAGGUACCAACAUCUACAGAAGAACAGCAUCAGAAACCGGGCCAUUAAUCUCAGAGGACAGACAACAGCCAUGGAAAAGAAACAAAGUUUGAAAUGCAUAGAACCAGAGCUAAUCUUUGGAAAAUCCUUUCAGUCUUGUCAUGUUAAAUUGCCAACAAUUUGGCACUCAUCAAUGCCUAGUCAAAAUGAAAGAUUUUCUGCUUGGAAUAUAUGUAUGAUAAUGCAGUAUAUUCAAUUAUAAUCCUGAAGGCAAUCACCAUUGUAUCAGAUUCACUGCAUCUAUAAGGCAUAAACCUGGACUAAUGCCUCUGCUAGGCUGAAUUACAAAAUACGCUCUCAAGAUUCCCAGCCAUGGUCUACACACACCUUCCUUCAGUUAGUUACUCAAUGAAAUCACAAUCUGGGUACUGCUGUGAAGGGAUUGUGCAGAUGUAAUUAAACUCUCAAAUCAGUUAACUUUAAAAUAGGGAGACGAUCCAGGAGGGGGAGGAGGGGCUGCCCUAAUCAUAUCAACCCUUUUAAAGCUCAGAGUUUUCUCUAGCUGGUUGCAGAAGAAAAAGACAUAGCGAGCCGGGCACGGUGGCUCACGCCUGUAAUCCUAGCACUCUGGGAGGCUGAGGCGGGC
Microcebus murinus (gray mouse lemur) is the source of this 1132-nucleotide long non-coding RNA. RefSeq lists it as uncharacterized. The record is from RefSeq and is a predicted model, not a curated record. Lineage: Eukaryota; Metazoa; Chordata; Mammalia; Primates; Cheirogaleidae.